Molecule: small nuclear RNA, 20 nt
Filed under: Arabidopsis thaliana (thale cress)
Lineage: Eukaryota; Viridiplantae; Streptophyta; Magnoliopsida; Brassicales; Brassicaceae
Description: snRNA_10947
Source: RNAcentral
ACUUCUCCUUCCACUGAGCA